This 504-nucleotide ribosomal RNA is filed under the name bacterium enrichment culture clone Cont28_3131. RNAcentral describes it as "partial 16S ribosomal RNA". It matches the Rfam family "Bacterial small subunit ribosomal RNA", at positions 8 to 525 of the family's 1533-position model. The record is from RNAcentral.
AGAGUUUGAUCAUGGCUCAGGACGAACGCUGGCGGCGUGCUUAACACAUGCAAGUCGAACGGUGACGAGGAGCUUGCUCCUCUGAUCAGUGGCGAACGGGUGAGUAACACGUGAGYAACCURCCCUUGACUCYGGGAUAAGCGUUGGAAACGRCKUCUAAUACCGGAUACGAGCUUCAGCSGCAUKGCUAGGAGCUGGAAAGAAUUUCGGUCARGGAUGGRCUCGCGGCCUAUCAGCUAGUUGGUGAGGUAAYGGCYCACCAAGGCGACGACGGGUAGCCGGCCUGAGAGGGUGACCGGCCACACUGGGACUGAGACACGGCCCAGACUCCUACGGGAGGCAGCAGUGGGGAAUAUUGCACAAUGGGCGMAAGCCUGAUGCAGCAACGCCGCGUGAGGGACGACGGCCUUCGGGUUGUAAACCUCUUUUAGUAGGGAAGAAGCGAAAGUGACGGUACCUGCAGAAAAAGCACCGGCUAACUACGUGCCAGCAGCCGCGGUAAUA